UACGUAGGGCGCAAGCGUUGUCCGGAAUUAUCGGGCGUAAAGAGCUCGUAGGCGGUUUGUCGCGUCUGCUGUGAAAGCCCGGGGCUCAACCCCGGGUCUGCAGUGGGUACGGGCAGACUAGAGUGCAGUAGGGGAGACUGGAAUUCCUGGUGUAGCGGUGAAAUGCGCAGAUAUCAGGAGGAACACCGAUGGCGAAGGCAGGUCUCUGGGCUGUAACUGACGCUGAGGAGCGAAAGCAUGGGGAGCGAACAGG
Molecule: ribosomal RNA, 253 nt
Filed under: uncultured bacterium
Lineage: Bacteria
Description: partial 16S ribosomal RNA
Rfam family: Bacterial small subunit ribosomal RNA
Source: RNAcentral